This 215-nucleotide unclassified non-coding RNA is filed under the name soil metagenome. RNAcentral's name for it is "partial internal transcribed spacer 1". The record is from RNAcentral.
AUGAAUUUUGGAGUUCUACUGUGCCUGCCGUUCAUUCGGAUGUGUGCACGUAGUCUCUAUAAAUCCUUAUCAACACCUGUGCACCUUUAAAAAGGGGGGGAGUUUUGAUUGAGCAUAUUUUAUUAUGCUUAUGACGAAUAACCUCUUUUUUUUCUUAUGCAAACUCUUUAAUGUCUAUUAGAAUGUUCUCUGGCCGCAAGGCUAUAAAAUAUAAA